Long non-coding RNA from Eleginops maclovinus (Patagonian blennie), 443 nucleotides. RefSeq lists it as uncharacterized. The record is from RefSeq and is a predicted model, not a curated record. The transcript is spliced from 2 exons. Lineage: Eukaryota; Metazoa; Chordata; Actinopteri; Perciformes; Eleginopidae.
GGCAGCAUCACGAGGAAACAUACUGCAACAUACUGUAGGUCAGUCCACCAUCUGCCAGGUACGAGGGACAAUGGAAUUCAGGGAAGGCAACGCUUACAAGGCACGGAAAUGGUAGCAGCCUCUGACGAUGCACCAGCAGAAGUGUUGGGCAGUUGCGACCCAGGUUCUGCUAGCAUUUGGCUAAUGAAAGCCGAUUGGUCAAUGAAGAACUCACGACUGGUUACGACCGAAGAAUACGCUUUGUGGUACCUGUCCACAGAACAUCAACAACGCUCUUAAGGUGCCAACCGCCGUUAAAAGAGAAGAAGAAGAAAGCUCUUAAGGAGGACUCUGAAAGGACAUUACAAUCGAACUUUUUUAUUUGAUUAUGGUCAACUUUGGAUGUACUGAUCCUACCACACACAUACAUUGUAUUGUAAAAAUAAAUUUGAAAGUUAACUGAU